RNAcentral lists this transfer RNA (36 nucleotides) under Turdus leucomelas (pale-breasted thrush). Its description in RNAcentral is "partial tRNA-Met". The record is from RNAcentral. Lineage: Eukaryota; Metazoa; Chordata; Aves; Passeriformes; Turdidae.
ACCCCGAAAAUGAUGGUUCAACUCCAUCCCCUGCUA